Megalobrama amblycephala (Wuchang bream) is the source of this 801-nucleotide long non-coding RNA. RefSeq lists it as uncharacterized. The transcript is spliced from 2 exons. The record is from RefSeq and is a predicted model, not a curated record. Lineage: Eukaryota; Metazoa; Chordata; Actinopteri; Cypriniformes; Xenocyprididae.
ACUUCCACCUUCCCACCUGGGCCAGCGAGAGAUGCGAUCUACACAGAGUGAAAGACAGAAAGAGGGAGGGGAAUGAAGAGAAAGAGGAAGAAGACAUGAGGCAGAGCAGGUGUGAGUUACCAUCACAGGCAGCAUGGUGUUGCAUUUGGGCUGGGUCCGUGUCUGUGUGUGAGAGAGAGAGCUGAAGCAGAAGCAGUCAGAGAGAGUGGAGUUAAACGGAGCAUGUCCUCCGCUGAUUCUGUGGAGACCAACACCAUCUGCUUUUAGCCUCUACAAACGCAUCUCUGUUUUUCCGCCUCUCGUAUUUUUCUCUCCGCUGAGAAUAGAACACCUGCUAAAGUAACAAUCACUGGUCUGGAGCAACCAUGUUCAGCACUUCCUGUUUACUGUGUGAGGUCUGGACAGCGGGCAGCACCAAGAGCCCAUCAAGUACAGGUGCUCUCGAGUAAAGAGAACUCACUUUUAAGUGGUACCUUAAUUUUUCAUAAGCUCACAAAAAAGACAAAACUUAUAGAAAGGACACUGUCAACACAAUCCCCGACUUCACAGACAAGACGUAUGCCAAGUCCCAGACUAAGAUGCAUGUUUUAGCAACUUAUAAUAUGUCAGAGUCAUUGUUUUGUCUCAAGAUGCACACCAGUAAUGUUUUUUUCGAAAGCUACUUAAAUGCCGUAAUUGAACUGAGGCCUUAUCCUUAAUCUAAACCCUGUCUGUGAAACCAGGCCAAUGUGUUUUACUAAUAAAAUAAUACUUCCAUCUGAAAACGUUUAAUCAUACAUUAAACAUACCAUGCUAUAUUGA